CAGUAUAUAAAAACAAGUCAACGCUUGAUGUGGCGCUUCUUAAGUGUGGUGGAAUAGAUCAAAAUCAACAUUUUCAAUCGAAUGAAUGCAUUCGUUCAAGAUUCGGCUUUUCUGUCUUAAUUAAACAGCUAGCGGACUCCCGACGGCGUUUUCCUCAACAAUAUUGCUUUCAACUGAAAACGAGCAAAAAAAUUUGUUGAGUACGAGGGUAGUUUUUGAUGACGUCUUACAGCGAGACUGUUUACUCGGACGUUGUGGCAGACGUUACAGUUCAUCUUGUGCGGUGUCUACACAGCUUCUCUUAUAAGAUCAACUGCGGUUGUCCGCUAUGACCAAGCCGAAUAGAAAAAUUUUCUUAUACUCGAGUACACGAAUGGACUUAUCACACCUUAAAUCUCAUACUGGCGACCGGCGGGGCUGCGUAAGGUAUUCCGAGAAAGGCAAUCAGGCCCCGUUGC
Long non-coding RNA from Varroa destructor (honeybee mite), 458 nucleotides. RefSeq lists it as uncharacterized. The record is from RefSeq and is a predicted model, not a curated record. NCBI's taxonomy places the organism in Eukaryota, Metazoa, Arthropoda, Arachnida, Mesostigmata, Varroidae.